Molecule: non-coding RNA, 226 nt
Filed under: Paracoccus sphaerophysae
Lineage: Bacteria; Pseudomonadati; Pseudomonadota; Alphaproteobacteria; Rhodobacterales; Paracoccaceae
Source: RNAcentral
GACCAUAUCGCCCGUGCUGGUGCCUGUGCUAACAGGUGAAAAGGGAAUGCGCGAGGCCCCGGGCGGGACCGAACCGCAGCCGCCCCCGCGACCGUGACCGGAAAGGGCGUCCAUCGGCCACUGACCCUAUCCGGGGUUGGGAAGGCCGGACGACCGCCGGGGACCGCCGAAAGGCGCGUCCCCAAGAUCCGCAAGCCGGGAAACCUGCCAGCGCGACGAAUGAAUC